Molecule: long non-coding RNA, 753 nt
Organism: Saccostrea cuccullata (small rock oyster)
Lineage: Eukaryota; Metazoa; Mollusca; Bivalvia; Ostreida; Ostreidae
Exons: 3
Source: RefSeq, a predicted model, not a curated record
GCUGCUAUCCCACAAGUUGACUAGGAUAGGAUCGGAUAGGAUUCAGGAUUGAGGAUUCACGAUAGAAACAUAUAGAAAUUAAUCCAAUCCUAUCCUAUCCUAUCCUAUCCUGUAUCCUACAGCCAAUCAGAUUCGAGCAAAGGUUAAUUCAUAUUUCAGAAUAAAUUACAAAAACGAAAUACGGUAUAAAAUGUUUACAAUAGAAAUAUUUAUAAUUUUUUCAAAAGAAAAUAAAACAUUCUUUUCUCUUAACACAUAUUUACAUUAUAAACUUCGAGUAACACGGCGUACGAUCUAACCGUGAACGAUCACCGGAAGAUUUGGGAAUGUAAACAACGAAGAGCCCAGGCAUCGAAAGACAGUAUUUCUUCAGCUUGUUUGGAUGAUUUAACCGAUUCUUACUUGUGUAAAAGUGUAUUAACAUGUUUUUCUGUUAAAUAUGCUCUGUUUGUUUGGAUAAUUCCACAGGAACCGUCAGCAGCGGACUUGAAUAGAUGAUGUGCUAUAUCAUAAAAUGGAUUGUCUGCACUCAUGCGUCAUCGCAGUACAAGGAUUUCAACCUAAAAAGUAUAAACCCUGGACAUUUACAGCUGUACAGAAUGCAGUUCAUGCCAUAUGCUGUUAGUGUAAAUGAUGAAAGAUGUUCAAACCAGUGUCACAGAGUCCUAAGUCUGAAAUCAUGGUGUUUUUACUAAGGAGAUCAGUGUGUUUUCUCUGCAUUGUUGACAUUUGAAGAACUGUUCGGUUUAUGAC